Molecule: transfer RNA, 68 nt
Filed under: Stenocercus cadlei
Lineage: Eukaryota; Metazoa; Chordata; Lepidosauria; Squamata; Tropiduridae
Description: tRNA-Ala
Source: RNAcentral
CAAGACCUGUGAAAUUCCAAACACAUCACCUGAAUGCAAAUCAGAUACUUUACUUAAGCUAAGGCCUC